CUCCGGUUGAUCCCGCCGGACCCGACUGCUAUCAGAGUGGGACUAAGCCAUGCGAGUCAACGUAGUAAUGUGUGGCAUACGGCUCAGUAACACGUAGUCAACAUGCCCAGGGGACGUGGAUAACCUCGGGAAACUGAGGAUAAACCGCGAUAGGUCAUCGUUUCUGGAAUGGGCAAUGACUGAAAUCUAUAUGGCUCCUGGAUUGGACUGCGGCCGAUCAGGCUGUUGGUGAGGUAAUGGCCCACCAAACCUGUAACCGGUACGGGCUCUGAGAGAAGGAGCCCGGAGAUGGGCACUGAGACAAGGGCCCAGGCCCUAUGGGGCGCAGCAGGCGCGAAACCUCUGCAAUAGGCGAAAGCUUGACAGGGUUACUCUGAGUGAUUUCCGUUAAGGAGAUCUUUUGGCACUUCUAAAAAUAGUGCAGAAUAAGGGGUGGGCAAGUCUGGUGUCAGCCGCCGCGGUAAUACCAGCACCCCGAGUGGUCGGGACGUUUAUUGGGCCUAAAGCAUCCGUAGCCGGUUUUGCAAGUCUUCCGUUAAAUCCACCUGCUCAACAGAUGGGCUGCGGAAGAUACUACAGAGCUAGGAGGCGGGAGAGGCAAGCGGUACUUGAUGGGUAGGGGUAAAAUCCGUUGAUCCAUAGAAGACCACCAGUGGCGAAGGCGGCUUGCCAGAACGCGCUCGACGGUGAGGGAUGAAAGCUGGGGGAGCAAACCGGAUUAGAUACCCGGGUAGUCCCAGCUGUAAACGAUGCAGACUCGGUGAUGAGUUGGCUUCGCGCCAACUCAGUGCCGCAGGGAAGCCGUUAAGUUUGCCGCCUGGGGAGUACGGUCGCAAGACUGAAACUUAAAGGAUUGGCGGGGGAGCA
Molecule: ribosomal RNA, 867 nt
Filed under: uncultured archaeon
Lineage: Archaea
Description: bacterial SSU rRNA
Rfam family: Archaeal small subunit ribosomal RNA
Source: RNAcentral